Pezoporus occidentalis (night parrot) is the source of this 3135-nucleotide long non-coding RNA. RefSeq lists it as uncharacterized. NCBI's taxonomy places the organism in Eukaryota, Metazoa, Chordata, Aves, Psittaciformes, Psittacidae. The transcript is spliced from 2 exons. The record is from RefSeq and is a predicted model, not a curated record.
UUCCAAAUAGCUAGGGCUUUCUUCACAGGAGAGGCAAUUUGAAAACUGCCAUGAUGGACAAUAGUUGGGAACAGAAGAGAUGGGUUCUGCAUCAAAAAGUCCUAGGAGAGAAGGUAAACCAGACAGUAGCAGAUUAUGUCUUCACAAAGGGCAGGUGUUGCCCCAGGUCAGGUUUCAGUAUUCUCAUAUGUUCAGUAGCCCUACAGAUUUAGACAAAGAAAAAGGUCCUUCCAGUUCAGGGUGAAUAUUCUAGGGAAGCAGACACUAGAAGGAAAAUGAUCAAAAGCAUGCAAAUAACUUGGGGAAAUCUAGUCCCUUUGGAAAGCUCCAAAAAUCUGUAAAUACGGCUGGAAACAAUUCUGGCUCCAGCCGUUUCAGACAGGGAUCCAGCUGGAAACUCCCUCAGACUCUUGAUCCUCUAGCCUCCCUUCAAAUGUCAGCUGUUUACAGACCUAGAAGUUUACCAUGCAGUGAUUUAUGCUUCACAGCUUGGCAGAUGGCUUGCGCUUUUGCCUCACCCAGUCUUCAGAUGCAAGGUAGCUACAUCUAGAGGAAGAAGAGCGUAACAGGAGAACAAUUUGCUCUUUAAUACUCCAAACAGGCAGUCAGGAGACAAACCUCUGAGCAGACAAAAUGGAGCAAGUCAAUGAUAACGUGGCAUUGCACCCACAUAGUGUUAUGAGUGAGUUCCUAGAAAGCCAUAGGGUCAGAUUCUCAACGUACUGCAACGCUCUUGCUGGGGUAUGAAAGCAUAUCUGACUCUUCAGAAUGAUCACCUUUUCAUGCUGCGUUCAAAUAUGGUUAAAAGCAAAGUCUGUCCACAUGGAGGGGCACAGGCCUGAAGGCAAUGGAACUGCACAUAGGUAGAGAGUCACCCAGAGUCCCAGUAGUUUGCAAGCUCAGCGUGGCAGUGUUUAGUUGGAUGUGGGGAGGAGGAAGGAACGAUACAUAAACAGAUGGAGACUUUCCAGCCUGAAAAAGCUGUGGUAUGUCUCACAGUUCUUUAUUAGCAUAAGCAAAUCGAUUCCUAAAUAUUGAUGGAUGUCCAUACAAUGUAUAUAUCCACACCUGCCCAACCUUUUAGGUCUCUGCUUUGGCUGUAGAAUAAUUGAAGGAUCUGUACGCUCAAGCUGCUAUACCCUCCACCCCUCUCCACUUUCCUUGGAUAUUCACAUAGAGGAGGAAGAAACUCUUUGUGUUGCUGAAAACCUGACACUCCUCUUGCUCCCAUGGAUGCUGCCAGGAAAGUGAGAACAGCCAGCUGCUGGAGCUCAGCAAAGUGCUCCAGUGCAAUCUGACCCUCUAGAUCCAUUCAGACCCACAGACUGGAGCCUGGAGACGGUGAUGCCAGCAGUGUUAUUCCCUAGGGGAUGAGCAUCCCUUAUUGAAGGAGACCUCUCUCCUUGCUGUAGGAAAAUAAACUGCACAACUGAGAGCAUGUGAUCGUGCUCCUGAAUGGGGUAAUAUGUACCCUGCUGGCCUCACAGGAUCCUCAUCUGCAUUUUGUGCGCUCCUUUCAGGCGCUGAUUGGCUGCAUUGCCUGUUAUCUGGUGGUGCCUGCCUCAACCAAGGGCUGGAAAGAUUCUGGGCUGUGGGAAAAAUUGGGAAGGGGGUGGGAAGGGACAUGUGGAUGGGCUUUGUACCAACCUGGGUGAGGUGGAGACACAGACUCUGGAAACUGGAUGCUGCUGCUGCCCCAGGAAACCUGACCAAAGAGAAGGGAAGAAAAGGAAUUGCAGAUACUGUAACAUAGGAGAGCGCUCUUCUGUGUGCUGAGGCUGAUCAGCUUUCUAUGCAGUCAGCUGCAAUGAGGUGCAGGAGAUGGAGAUAAAUCUGAAAGCUAUCCAAAGCUGUAAUGUCAUGAACCAGGAAGAGGUAAUGAUUUACCAAGCUCUUUAUGCAAAUCCCUAAGAGUGGCUGGAGCUAGAGGACUCCUACAAAGACUGGAAAAGUGAGAGAGUGCAUGUGUGUGUACACACACAGAUCUCCAUCCCCUCCUUUAGAAGGGAUGGGGCUACGAGCUGCCCAGAUGGUACUGAAAAACAUUAGAGACCUGAAUUUAGUUGAGUAUACUUGAAUACUAUGCUAAGGAGCCCUAAUGGAGCAGGAUGGAGCCUUGCUUAAGGGGUCUUUGCCCAUGCUUUGUUUUCUUCCUUUCUGCUAGACAAACUUUGGGGCUGUUGCUUCAGCCUGACUAUGCCAUAUUUUACAUGGGGGGCAGUUACCAUGGCCUGCCUUGCUUAUCCAAUGUAAUGAUACCGGAGUUGCUGUUGGACCAAAACUUGCCCAUAUUGGCCCUUUUGUUGCAGAGUGAGUUAUGUUUCUGAAGCACCAGUUCUGCUUUCUCCCCGCACUAAAGACUUGUCACCAAAGAAGUGAUGAUUUAUGUUGUGUUUGGAUCACUGCUGCAUUUACUCUGGCUGAAUAUUCUUCUCCCCCAAAUUCACCAGCCUGCUACACUCAGGCAGUCUACUUGACCCAGAGAUUACAGUCUUGGAGAGAAAGAUUAAGAGACAAGGCAGACACCACAAGAGUUUUACUUACUGCUGCACUGCUUGCUGCUUGUCGUGCUCUUCUCUGCUGCAGUAACUCCUUAACUGUAAUCUUUACUCUAACACCUUGAUAUACCUUGGGCUUUCCUGAAAGUAUGUGUGGGAAAAAAUACUUAAGAUUGAAGACUUUCAAAACCUAGAGCAAAUAAAGCAUUUUUUUUUCAGUCAUGCUUUACAUGGAGUCUACUUAGAGCAAACAUGAUUAACUUGUCAUUGAUAAGUCACUUGUAAUCACAGUUUAUAGCCCUCUUCAAUGCCUGCUUUUCAAGCCUGCGGCAAACAGACAUUUCUGGAAAAGAUGGUGUUGAUUAUAUUCGGUAAUCACAUGUGUUUUAUUUGUUCCUAUUGCAUUGUCUCCCCCCCCCUCCCUGGUGUACUAAUACCAAGCUCCAUCUGGUGCUUGGUAUUUUAAUUUAUUGAAUCUAUAUAAAAUUCCUAUCAUAUUUGUCUCCCUUAGGACCUGAAAAUAAAUCUGUCAAGCCCUUCAUCUGGCAGAUGAGGACCAGGAACAAAACAAUGGAAAAAUGUGGGCAGUUACUCAGAGGUCUAAACAAAACCCAAAUAAAAUGACUGCUUUCAUGAA